Molecule: ribosomal RNA, 1128 nt
Filed under: uncultured bacterium
Lineage: Bacteria
Description: bacterial SSU rRNA
Rfam family: Bacterial small subunit ribosomal RNA
Source: RNAcentral
AGAGUUUGAUCAUGGCUCAGGAUGAACGCUGGCGGUAUGCCUAACACAUGCAAGUCGUACGAGAGUUUUUAACUCUAGUGGCGGACGGGUGAGUAACACGUGAGAAUUUACCUUUAGGAGGGGGAUAACAAUUGGAAACGAAUGCUAAUACCCCAUAUGCUUUUGAGUGAAAUGGAUUUUAUCCGCCUAAAGAAAAGCUCGCGGCUGAUUAGCUUGUUGGUAAGGUAAGAGCUUACCAAGGCGACGAUCAGUAUCUGGUUUGAGAGGACGAUCAGACACACUGGAACUGAGACACGGUCCAGACUCCUACGGGAGGCAGCAGUGGGGAAUUUUCCGCAAUGGGCGAAAGCCUGACGGAGCAAUACCGCGUGAGGGAAGAAUGCCUAUGGGUUGUAAACCUCUUUUUUCAGGGAGGAAUAAAAUGACGUGUACCUGAAGAAUAAGCAUCGGCUAACUCCGUGCCAGCAGCCGCGGUAAGACGGAGGAUGCAAGUGUUAUCCGGAAUCACUGGGCGUAAAGCGUCUGUAGGUGGUUUAAUAAGUCAACUGUUAAAUCUUGAGGCUCAACUUCAAAAUCGCAGUCGAAACUAUUAGACUAGAGUAUAGUAGAGGUAAAGGGAAUUUCCAGUGGAGCGGUGAAAUGCGUAGAUAUUGGAAAGAACACCGAUGGCGAAAGCACUUUACUGGGCUAUUACUAACACUCAGAGACGAAAGCUAGGGUAGCAAAUGGGAUUAGAUACCCCAGUAGUCCUAGCCGUAAACUAUGGAUACUAGAUGUUGAACAGAUCGACCUGUGCAGUAUCAAAGCUAACGCGUUAAGUAUCCCGCCUGGGAAGUAUGCACGCAAGUGUGAAACUCAAAGGAAUUGACGGGGGCCCGCACAAGCGGUGGAGCAUGUGGUUUAAUUCGAUGCAACGCGAAGAACCUUACCAGGGUUUGACAUGAUACGAAUUUCUUUGAAAGAAGAAAGUGCCGUUUGGAGCGUAUACACAGGUGGGUGCAUGGGCUGUCGUCAACUCCUGGCCUGAGAAGGUUGGGGUUAAAUCCCCCCAACGAAGGCAACCCCUUGGUUUUAAUUUGCCUUUUUUUGGAAACCUAAAAAAAAUGCUGGGUUAUAAACCGAGGAGAG